UGAGUACGAGAUGCUACGGCAUCGAAGCAGUCUAUGUCAUACUUCCAAGAAAAGCUUGCACUGUCAUAAACAAAGAAUGCCUGUACCAUAACCGACACAGGUGGGUAGGUAGAGUAUACUAAGGGGCGCGAGAUAACUCUCUCUAAGGAACUCGGCAAAAUGACUCCGUAACUUCGGGAGAAGGAGUGCCUUAUUUCUAAGGUUGCAAUAACAAGAUCCAAGCAACUGUUUACCAAAAACACAGGUCUCCGCUAAGUCGUAAGACGAUGUAUGGGGGCUGACGCCUGCCCAGUGCCAGAAGGUUAAAGAAGUUGGUUAGCAUUAGCGAAGCUGAUAACUGAAGCCCUGGUGAACGGCGGCCGUAACAAUAACGGUCCUAAGGUAGCGAAAUUCCUUGUCGGGUAAGUUCCGACCCGCACGAAAGGCGUAAUGAUUUGGAUACUGUCUCGGAGAGGGGCUCGGUGAAAUAGACUUGUCUGUGAAGAUGCGGACUACCUGCACCUGGACAGAAAGACCCUAUGAAGCUUUACUGUAACUUGAGAUUGAAAUUGGACUUUAUUUGCGCAGUAUAGGUGGGAGGCGUUGAGAAUAAUCUUGCGGGAUUGUUGGAGCCAUCAGUGAGAUACCACUCUUGUAAUGUUAGAUUUCUAACUUUGUAUCAUUAUCUGGUCAAAGAACAGUUUCAGGCGGGCAGUUUGACUGGGGCGGUCGCCUCCCAAAGGGUAACGGAGGCGCACAAAGGUUUCCUCUGAACGGGUAGAAAUCGUAUCUAGAGUGUAAAGGCAUAAGGAAGCUUGACUGUGAGACCUACAAGUCGAGCAGGGACGAAAGUCGGUCUUAGUGAUCUGACGGUGCUGAGUGGAAAGGCCGUCACUCAACGGAAAAAAGUUACUCUAGGAUAACAGGCUGAUCUCCCCCAAGAGUUCACAUCGACGGGGAGGUUUGGCACCUCGAUGUCGGCUCAUCGCAUCCUGGGGCGGUAGUCCGUCCCAAGGGUUGGGCUGUUCGCCCAUGAAAGCGGUACGCGAGCUGGGUUCAGAACGUCGUGAGACAGUUCGGUCCAUAUCCGGUGUAGGCGUUAGAAUAUUGAGAGGAGCCUUCUCUAGUACGAGAGGACCGAGAAGGACAUACCUCUGGUGUACCAGUUAUCGUGCCAACGGUAAACGCUGGGUAGCUAUGUAUGGAGUGGAUAACCGCUGAAAGCAUCUAAGUGGGAAGCCCACCUCAAGAUAAGUA
This 1236-nucleotide ribosomal RNA is filed under the name metagenome. Its description in RNAcentral is "bacterial LSU rRNA". It matches the Rfam family "Bacterial large subunit ribosomal RNA", at positions 1564 to 2810 of the family's 2925-position model. The record is from RNAcentral.